Molecule: ribosomal RNA, 253 nt
Filed under: uncultured bacterium
Lineage: Bacteria
Description: partial 16S ribosomal RNA
Rfam family: Bacterial small subunit ribosomal RNA
Source: RNAcentral
UACGUAGGUGGCGAGCGUUGUCCGGAUUUACUGGGCGUAAAGAGCGCGCAGGCGGUCGUACAAGUCGCGUGUGAAAGCCCCUGGCUCAACUGGGGAGGGUCACGCGAUACUGUUCGACUUGAAGGCAGGAGAGGGAAGUGGAAUUCCCGGUGUAGUGGUGAAAUGCGUAGACAUCGGGAGGAACACCAGUGGCGAAGGCGACUUCCUGGCCUGUUCUUGACGCUGAGGCGCGAAAGCUAGGGUAGCAAACGGG